RNAcentral lists this ribosomal RNA (2909 nucleotides) under Alcaligenes faecalis. RNAcentral describes it as "23S ribosomal RNA". It matches the Rfam family "Bacterial large subunit ribosomal RNA". Lineage: Bacteria; Pseudomonadati; Pseudomonadota; Betaproteobacteria; Burkholderiales; Alcaligenaceae. The record is from RNAcentral.
GUUAUAGGAUCAAGCGAAUAAGUGCAUAUGAUGGAUGCCUUGGCGAUCACAGGCGAUGAAGGACGCGGUAGCCUGCGAAAAGCUACGGGGAGCUGGCAAACAAGCUUUGAUCCGUAGAUGUCCGAAUGGGGAAACCCACCGUAGUAAUACGGUAUCCCAUGCUGAAUACAUAGGCAUGUGGAGGCGAACCGAGUGAACUGAACCAUCUCAGUAACUCGAGGAAAAGAAAUCAACCGAGAUUCCGGAAGUAGUGGCGAGCGAAACCGGACCAGCCUGGAUGUUUUAGCGUAGUGAAUAGUCGAAUGGAAUGGAAAGUCCAGCCGUAGCAGGUGAUAGCCCUGUAGGCGAAAUUCAGUACGUGGAACUAAGCAUCGAACAAGUAGGGCGGGACACGUGAAAUCCUGUCUGAAUAUGGGGACCAUCCUCCAAGGCUAAAUACUCGUGAUCGACCGAUAGUGAACCAGUACCGUGAGGGAAAGGCGAAAAGAACCCGGAAGGGGUGAAAUAGAUCCUGAAAUCGUAUGCAUACAAACAGUAGGAGCACCUUCGUGGUGUGACUGCGUACCUUUUGUAUAAUGGGUCAGCGACUUACAUUCAGUGGCAAGCUUAACCGAAUAGGGGAGGCGUAGCGAAAGCGAGUCCGAAUAGGGCGAUUCAGUCGCUGGGUGUAGACCCGAAACCAGGCGAUCUAUCCAUGGCCAGGUUGAAGGCACGGUAACACGUGCUGGAGGACCGAACCCACUAAUGUUGAAAAAUUAGGGGAUGAGCUGUGGAUCGGAGUGAAAGGCUAAACAAGCCUGGAGAUAGCUGGUUCUCUCCGAAAACUAUUUAGGUAGUGCCUCGUAUAUUACUGCCGGGGGGUAGAGCACUGUUAUGGCUAGGGGGGUCACAGCGACUUACCAACCCAUGGCAAACUCCGAAUACCGGCAAGUACAGUACGGGAGACAGAGCACCGGGUGCUAACGUCCGGACUCAAGAGGGAAACAACCCAGACCGCCAGCUAAGGUCCCUAACUAUGGCUAAGUGGGAAACGAAGUGGGAAGGCAUAGACAGUCAGGAGGUUGGCUUAGAAGCAGCCAUCCUUUAAAGAAAGCGUAAUAGCUCACUGAUCGAGUCGUCCUGCGCGGAAGAUGUAACGGGGCUAAGCCAUAGACCGAAGCUGCGGAUGUGUACUUUUAGUACACAUGGUAGGAGAGCGUUCCGUAAGCCUGUGAAGGUGUUCCGUGAGGAAUGCUGGAGGUAUCGGAAGUGAGAAUGCUGACAUGAGUAGCGAUAAAGGGGGGUGAAAAGCCCCCUCGCCGUAAGUCCAAGGUUUCCUGCGCAACGUUCAUCGGCGCAGGGUGAGUCGGCCCCUAAGGCGAGGCAGAGAUGCGUAGCUGAUGGGAAGCGGGUUAAUAUUCCCGCACCGUCGUAGAGUGCGAUGGGGGGGACGGAUUGCAGAAUGUUAUCGGGGUGUUGGAUGUCCCCGUUGGCGCAUCAUAGAAGGCACUUAGGCAAAUCCGGGUGCGUAAUUCAAGGGUGUGACUGGAUAGAGCUUCGGCUCUAAACUAACUGGAAGCAGUUCCAAGAAAAGCCUCUAAGCUUCAGCUCUACGAGACCGUACCGCAAACCGACACAGGUGGACGGGAUGAAUAUUCCAAGGCGCUUGAGAGAACUCAGGAGAAGGAACUCGGCAAAUUAAUACCGUAACUUCGGGAGAAGGUAUGCCUCAUUAGUGUGAUGUGCCUGCGCACAAAGCAUGAAGAGGCCGCAGUGAAUCGGUGGCUGCGACUGUUUACUAAAAACACAGCACUCUGCAAACACGAAAGUGGACGUAUAGGGUGUGACGCCUGCCCGGUGCCGGAAGGUUAAGUGAUGGGGUGCAAGCUCUUGAUCGAAGCCCCGGUAAACGGCGGCCGUAACUAUAACGGUCCUAAGGUAGCGAAAUUCCUUGUCGGGUAAGUUCCGACCUGCACGAAUGGCGUAACGAUGGCCACACUGUCUCCUCCUGAGACUCAGCGAAGUUGACAUGGUUGUGAUGAUGCAAUCUCCCCGCGGCUAGACGGAAAGACCCCAUGAACCUUUACUGUAGCUUUGCAUUGGAUUGUGAACCGGCCUGUGUAGGAUAGGUGGGAGACGUUGAAGCGUGGUCGCCAGAUCGCGUGGAGUCAUCCUUGAAAUACCACCCUGGUCUGUUUGCGGUUCUAACCUAGGUCCCUUAUCGGGAUCGGGGACCGUGCAUGGUGGGCAGUUUGACUGGGGCGGUCUCCUCCUAAAGUGUAACGGAGGAGUUCGAAGGUACGCUAGAGACGGUCGGAAAUCGUCUUGAUAGUGCAAUGGCAUAAGCGUGCUUGACUGUGAGACUGACAAGUCGAACAGGUACGAAAGUAGGACAUAGUGAUCCGGUGGUUCUGUAUGGAAGGGCCAUCGCUCAACGGAUAAAAGGUACUCUGGGGAUAACAGGCUGAUACCGCCCAAGAGUUCAUAUCGACGGCGGUGUUUGGCACCUCGAUGUCGGCUCAUCUCAUCCUGGGGCUGUAGCCGGUCCCAAGGGUAUGGCUGUUCGCCAUUUAAAGAGGUACGUGAGCUGGGUUUAAAACGUCGUGAGACAGUUUGGUCCCUAUCUGCCGUGGGCGUUGGAUAUUUGACGGAGCCUGCUCCUAGUACGAGAGGACCGGAGUGGACGUACCACUGGUGUAUCGGUUGUCAUGCCAAUGGCAUUGCCGAGUAGCUACGUACGGAAGAGAUAACCGCUGAAGGCAUCUAAGCGGGAAACUCGUCUGAAGAUUAGAUAUCCCGGAGGCUUGACCUCCCUGUAGGGUCGUCCGAGACCAGGACGUUGAUAGGCUGGGUGUGGAAGUGCAGUAAUGCAUGUAGCUAACCAGUACUAAUUGCCCGUGUGGCUUGAUCCUAUAACCCUUGAGGUUGUA